RNAcentral lists this ribosomal RNA (245 nucleotides) under uncultured bacterium. Its description in RNAcentral is "partial 16S ribosomal RNA". It matches the Rfam family "Bacterial small subunit ribosomal RNA", at positions 90 to 334 of the family's 1533-position model. The record is from RNAcentral.
ACUUAGCGGCGGACGGGUGAGUAACGCGUGGGUAACCUGCCUUACACUGGGGGAUAACAGUUAGAAAUGACUGCUAAUACCGCAUAAGCGCACAGGGCCGCAUGGCCUGGUGUGAAAAAACUCCGGUGGUGUAAGAUGGACCCGCGUCUGAUUAGGUAGUUGGUGGGGUAACGGCCCACCAAGCCGACGAUCAGUAGCCGACCUGAGAGGGUGACCGGCCACAUUGGGACUGAGACACGGCCCAA